AGCGAACGCUGGCGGCGUGCCUAACACAUGCAAGUCGAACGUGAAAAGGGAAACCUGAGUAAAGUGGCGUACGGGUGAGUAACGCGUAGGUAAUCUACCCCAGAAUCUGGAAUAACCUGCCGAAAGGCGGGCUAAUACUGGAUAGAGCGAGGGAACUCGUAAGAGAGUUUUUCGGGAAAGGGAGCCCGCAAGGGCCUUCGUUCUGGGAUGAGCCUGCGUCUCAUUAGCUAGUUGGUAAGGUAACGGCUUACCAAGGCGAUGAUGAGUAGCUGGUCUGAGAGGAGGAUCAGCCACACUGGAACUGAAACACGGUCCAGACGCCUACGGGAGGCAGCAGUGGGGAAUCUUGCGCGAUGGACGAAAGUCUGACGCUGCCACGCCGCGUGAGUGAAGAAGGCCUUCGGGUUGUAAAGCUCUGUCGGAUGGGACGAACAUCUUCAUAGUGAAUAGCUAUGAGGACUGACGGUACCAUCAAAGGAAGCACCGGCUAACUCCGUG
This 498-nucleotide ribosomal RNA is filed under the name uncultured bacterium. Its description in RNAcentral is "partial 16S ribosomal RNA". It matches the Rfam family "Bacterial small subunit ribosomal RNA", at positions 29 to 507 of the family's 1533-position model. The record is from RNAcentral.